RNAcentral lists this ribosomal RNA (429 nucleotides) under uncultured bacterium. Its description in RNAcentral is "bacterial SSU rRNA". It matches the Rfam family "Bacterial small subunit ribosomal RNA", at positions 32 to 507 of the family's 1533-position model. The record is from RNAcentral.
GACGCUGGCGGCAUGCCUAACACAUGCAAGUCGAACGAGACCUUCGGGUCUAGUGGCGCACGGGUGCGUAACACGUGGGAAUUUGCCUCGGGGUAUGGAAUAACUCAGGGAAACUUGAGCUAAUACCAUAUAAUGUCUUCGGACCAAAGAUUUAUCGCCCUGAGAUAAGCCCGCGUAGGAUUAGCUAGUUGGUGGGGUAAAGGCUCACCAAGGCGACGAUCCUUAGCUGGUCUGAGAGGAUGAUCAGCCACACUGGGACUGAGACACGGCCCAGACUCCUACGGGAGGCAGCAGUGGGGAAUAUUGGACAAUGGGCGAAAGCCUGAUCCAGCAAUGCCGCGUGAGUGAUGAAGGCCUUAGGGUUGUAAAGCUCUUUUACCAGGGAUGAUAAUGACAGUACCUGGAGAAUAAGCUCCGGCUAACUCCGUG